UUUCCUCUGGCUCAGUUGGUAGAGCAUUACGCUAACAACGGUAAAGGUGUGGGUUCAAAUCCUAGAGAACUG
Molecule: non-coding RNA, 72 nt
Organism: Danionella cerebrum
Lineage: Eukaryota; Metazoa; Chordata; Actinopteri; Cypriniformes; Danionidae
Source: the annotation of a GenBank genome assembly